AUUGAACGCUGGCGGCAUGCCUUACACAUGCAAGUCGAACGGCAGCACGGACUUCGGUCUGGUGGCGAGUGGCGAACGGGUGAGUAAUGUAUCGGAACGUGCCAUUGAGUGGGGGAUAACGUAGCGAAAGUUGCGCUAAUACCGCAUAUUCUGUGAGCAGGAAAGCAGGGGACCGCAAGGCCUUGCGCUCUUUGAGCGGCCGAUGUCAGAUUAGCUAGUUGGUGAGGUAAAGGCUUACCAAGGCGACGAUCUGUAGCGGGUCUGAGAGGAUGAUCCGCCACACUGGAACUGAGACACGGUCCAGACUCCUACGGGAGGCAGCAGUGGGGAAUUUUGGACAAUGGGGGCAACCCUGAUCCAGCCAUGCCGCGUGAGUGAAGAAGGCC
This 386-nucleotide ribosomal RNA is filed under the name uncultured bacterium. RNAcentral's name for it is "bacterial SSU rRNA". It matches the Rfam family "Bacterial small subunit ribosomal RNA", at positions 30 to 416 of the family's 1533-position model. The record is from RNAcentral.